RNAcentral lists this transfer RNA (76 nucleotides) under Actinobacteria bacterium 13_1_20CM_4_68_12. Its description in RNAcentral is "tRNA-Thr". It matches the Rfam family "tRNA". Rfam says of the family: Transfer RNA (tRNA) molecules are approximately 80 nucleotides in length. The record is from RNAcentral. Lineage: Bacteria; Bacillati; Actinomycetota. RNAcentral also lists the same sequence under 2 other names.
GCCGGAGUAGCUCAGUUGGUAGAGCAACGGUUUUGUAAACCGUGGGUCGUCGGUUCGAGUCCGGCCUCCGGCUCCU